This is a non-coding RNA of Xyrichtys novacula (pearly razorfish), 155 nucleotides long. The record is from the annotation of a GenBank genome assembly. NCBI's taxonomy places the organism in Eukaryota, Metazoa, Chordata, Actinopteri, Labriformes, Labridae.
CAUUACCUUACUUAUGUCACACUCUGCUGUGUUUCUCAGGCUGACUCUCACUCACCUCCCUGCCACACCUCCUAAUCAGCGCUGAUGAGGAGGUGUGGCAGGGAGGUGAGUGAGAGUCAGCCUGAGAAACACAGCAGAGUGUGACAACUUACUGU